AAGGGCUUAGCUUAAUUAAAGUGGCUGAUUUGCAUUCAGUCGAUGUAGGGUAGAGUCUUGCAGUCCUUA
Molecule: transfer RNA, 69 nt
Filed under: Tamias dorsalis (cliff chipmunk)
Lineage: Eukaryota; Metazoa; Chordata; Mammalia; Rodentia; Sciuridae
Also listed under: 3 other names
Description: tRNA-Ala
Rfam family: tRNA
About the family: Transfer RNA (tRNA) molecules are approximately 80 nucleotides in length. Their secondary structure includes four short double-helical elements and three loops (D, anti-codon, and T loops).
Source: RNAcentral